UACGUAGGGGGCAAGCGUUGUCCGGAUUUAUUGGGCGUAAAGAGCUCGUAGGCGGCUUGGCAAGUCGGGUGUGAAAACUUCAGGCUCAACCUGGAGCGGCCACGUCGAUACUGCUAUGGGCUUGAGUCCGGUAGGGGACCACGGGAAUUCCUGGUGUAGCGGUGAAAUGCGCAGAUAUCAGGAGGAACACCAGUGGCGAAGGCGGUGGUCUGGGCCGGAACUGACGCUGAGGAGCGAAAGCGUGGGGAGCGAACAGG
RNAcentral lists this ribosomal RNA (257 nucleotides) under uncultured bacterium. Its description in RNAcentral is "partial 16S ribosomal RNA". It matches the Rfam family "Bacterial small subunit ribosomal RNA", at positions 524 to 776 of the family's 1533-position model. The record is from RNAcentral.